GACGAACGCUGGCGGCGUGCUUAACACAUGCAAGUCGAACGGAAAGGCCCUGCUUGCAGGGUACUCGAGUGGCGAACGGGUGAGUAACACGUGGGUGAUCUGCCCUGCACUUCAGGAUAAGCCUGGGAAACUGGGUCUAAUACCGGAUAGGAGCCAUUUUUAGUGUGAUGGUUGGAAAGUUUUUUCGGUGUAGGAUGAGCUCGCGGCCUAUCAGCUUGUUGGUGGGGUAAUGGCCUACCAAGGCGGCGACGGGUAGCCGGCCUGAGAGGGUGGACGGCCACAUUGGGACUGAGAGACGGCCCAGACUCCUACGGGAGGCAGCAGUGGGGAAUAUUGCACAAGGGGCGCAAGCCUGAUGCAGCGACGCCGCGUGGGGGAUGACGGCCUUCGGGUUGUAAACUCCUUUCGCUAGGGACGAAGCUUUUUGUGACGGUACCUAGAUAAGAAGCACCGGCUAACUACGUG
This 465-nucleotide ribosomal RNA is filed under the name uncultured bacterium. RNAcentral's name for it is "partial 16S ribosomal RNA". It matches the Rfam family "Bacterial small subunit ribosomal RNA", at positions 28 to 507 of the family's 1533-position model. The record is from RNAcentral.